CUCUAAUCCACCGUGGUUCUUUCUCCAGAUACUGCACUGCCUUAGUUUUAUCAGGCCUGAGGAGAACCUGGAAUGUCAGUGUAGGAUGAAAAGCAGUGGCUAAAGGUAGACAAGGAGGGAAAAGCUUGACAGAAAAUGCUGAAACUUUGCAGAUUUACUAUUGGAACACACUUGGUGCCAUUCCUGGCUUUGAUAAAAGCCACACAGCCAGCUCCAGACUCUUGAUGAGCUGCAAGUCACUAUUCCAGAAAGAUGCAGCUGGUGAAGUGUUCACUGAAGCACAGCAGAAAAAUGAGUACUGCAGGAAUCUGACAGGAUAAUGCAGAGUUUUGGUGCAGUGAUUUGCAAAAUAGAUGGGACAGUGGAAAUAAAUUUUUGGUCUAUCUGGAAUUCUGAAA
This is a long non-coding RNA of Pseudopipra pipra, 398 nucleotides long. RefSeq lists it as uncharacterized. The transcript is spliced from 3 exons. The record is from RefSeq and is a predicted model, not a curated record. NCBI's taxonomy places the organism in Eukaryota, Metazoa, Chordata, Aves, Passeriformes, Pipridae.